AGUGUCAGUUGAGCUCAACUGGUAAAACCUUUGGGUGAUGAUACCAGAGGUCGGGGGUUCGAAUCCCGCUUGCAUUA
Thalictrum thalictroides is the source of this 77-nucleotide non-coding RNA. The record is from the annotation of a GenBank genome assembly. NCBI's taxonomy places the organism in Eukaryota, Viridiplantae, Streptophyta, Magnoliopsida, Ranunculales, Ranunculaceae.